This 631-nucleotide ribosomal RNA is filed under the name Brevibacterium aureum. Its description in RNAcentral is "bacterial SSU rRNA". It matches the Rfam family "Bacterial small subunit ribosomal RNA", at positions 217 to 858 of the family's 1533-position model. Lineage: Bacteria; Bacillati; Actinomycetota; Actinomycetes; Micrococcales; Brevibacteriaceae. The record is from RNAcentral.
GAUCGGGGAUGGGCUCGCGGCCUAUCAGCUUGUUGGUGGGGUAAUGGCCUACCAAGGCGACGACGGGUAGCCGGCCUGAGAGGGCGACCGGCCACACUGGGACUGAGACACGGCCCAGACUCCUACGGGAGGCAGCAGUGGGGAAUAUUGCACAAUGGGGGAAACCCUGAUGCAGCGACGCAGCGUGCGGGAUGACGGCCUUCGGGUUGUAAACCGCUUUCAGCAGGGAAGAAGCGAAAGUGACGGUACCUGCAGAAGAAGUACCGGCUAACUACGUGCCAGCAGCCGCGGUAAUACGUAGGGUACGAGCGUUGUCCGGAAUUAUUGGGCGUAAAGAGCUCGUAGGUGGUUGGUCACGUCUGCUGUGGAAACGCAACGCUUAACGUUGCGCGGGCAGUGGGUACGGGCUGACUAGAGUGCAGUAGGGGAGUCUGGAAUUCCUGGUGUAGCGGUGAAAUGCGCAGAUAUCAGGAGGAACACCGGUGGCGAAGGCGGGACUCUGGGCUGUAACUGACACUGAGGAGCGAAAGCAUGGGGAGCGAACAGGAUUAGAUACCCUGGUAGUCCAUGCCGUAAACGUUGGGCACUAGGUGUGGGGGGCAUUCCACGUUCUCCGCGCCGUAGCUAACGC